AUGUAUAUAGUGAUCCAGUAUGCAAUUAGCUAUAACAAGACCUGCUCUCAUGUAUUUGUUGUCCAGGCAUAUGUCGCUUCCAAGCCCGUCUCGGCCCGAUCCCACAGUACUUCUUCCCUUCAUUGUGCCAUCUGCUCUAGGGGAACCGAGGCACUUUGCCGCCGCCGGCUGCACGCUCGACUGGUGAUCGUGUCUUUUGUCAAAGGCCUGAAUGGUUCGGUGGGAAAAUUGGACCUAACCAAGCUUGAUGUUACCAAGCUACACCCGUUGUCACCUGAAGUUAUCUCACGCCAAGCGAGGAUCAAUACCGGUACUGAUUCCAUCCUUCUGAUGUGGUUCAGUAACUAA
This 348-nucleotide ribosomal RNA is filed under the name Triticum aestivum (bread wheat). RNAcentral describes it as "partial small subunit ribosomal RNA". Lineage: Eukaryota; Viridiplantae; Streptophyta; Magnoliopsida; Poales; Poaceae. The record is from RNAcentral.